This 245-nucleotide long non-coding RNA is filed under the name Lathyrus oleraceus (garden pea). RNAcentral describes it as "Pisum sativum (pea) long non-coding RNA (PSAT_LNC019507)". Lineage: Eukaryota; Viridiplantae; Streptophyta; Magnoliopsida; Fabales; Fabaceae. The record is from RNAcentral.
AAUCUACGUUAGUGGAAACUUCUAAAGUCAAUUGAAAUUGAAAAACAGUUAAAUAUGCAACACAUUCUAGACCUAGAGUGUUGAACAACUCAAUAAAUCAAGAAUAAAGAUUUCAAAUCCAAAGAAGGGUUAUACUGAGCAACAUAUAUCAAGCUAAAUUAAAUUUAUAAUGAGAAAUAAUAAAAUAUUAAUAAUCAUAUAGAAUUUUAUGAAACUAAUUAACUAAAUAUAACAAUACAUUUUUC